AUUUUAUGAUGAUAUUAUUUUGGUCCGUGUUUCCGAUUCACUUAUGACGAUCCAACUUCUGAUGAU
This is a small nucleolar RNA of Trichinella britovi, 66 nucleotides long. It matches the Rfam family "Small nucleolar RNA SNORD18". Rfam says of the family: U18 is a member of the C/D class of snoRNA which contain the C (UGAUGA) and D (CUGA) box motifs. It is encoded in introns of ribosomal protein L1 in Xenopus and human, and in introns of elongation factor 1 beta in yeast. Related snoRNAs in Arabidopsis and rice have been named R63 and Z106 respectively. The record is from Rfam. Lineage: Eukaryota; Metazoa; Nematoda; Enoplea; Trichinellida; Trichinellidae.